RNAcentral lists this ribosomal RNA (497 nucleotides) under uncultured bacterium. RNAcentral describes it as "partial 16S ribosomal RNA". It matches the Rfam family "Bacterial small subunit ribosomal RNA", at positions 28 to 507 of the family's 1533-position model. The record is from RNAcentral.
GAUGAACGCUGGCGGCGUGCCUAAUACAUGCAAGUCGAGCGAACGGACGAGAAGCUUGCUUCUCUGAUGUUAGCGGCGGACGGGUGAGUAACACGUGGAUAACCUACCUAUAAGACUGGGAUAACUUCGGGAAACCGGAGCUAAUACCGGAUGAUAUUUUGAACCGCAUGGUUCAAAAGUGAAAGACGGUCUUGCUGUCACUUAUAGAUGGAUCCGCGCUGCAUUAGCUAGUUGGUAAGGUAAUGGCUUACCAAGGCAACGAUGCAUAGCCGACCUGAGAGGGUGAUCGGCCACACUGGAACUGAGACACGGUCCAGACUCCUACGGGAGGCAGCAGUAGGGAAUCUUCCGCAAUGGGCGAAAGCCUGACGGAGCAACGCCGCGUGAGUAAUGAAGGUCUUCGGAUCGUAAAACUCUGUUAUUAGGGAAGAACAUAUGUGUAAGUAACUGUGCACAUCUUGACGGUACCUAAUCAGAAAGCCACGGCUAACUACGUG